GGGCCGCUAGCUCAUCCGGUAGAGCAUCGCCCUUUUAAGGCGGUGGUGGUUGGUUCGAGUCCAACGCGGCUCACCA
RNAcentral lists this transfer RNA (76 nucleotides) under Candidatus Omnitrophota bacterium. RNAcentral's name for it is "Candidatus Omnitrophica bacterium (sediment metagenome) tRNA-Lys". It matches the Rfam family "tRNA". Rfam says of the family: Transfer RNA (tRNA) molecules are approximately 80 nucleotides in length. Lineage: Bacteria; Pseudomonadati; Candidatus Omnitrophota. The record is from RNAcentral.